GACGAGCGCUGGCGGCGUGCUUAACACAUGCAAGUCGAACGGUGAAGCGCCUUCCUUUUUGGUGGGUGUGGAUGAGUGGCAAACGGGUGAGUAACACGUGAGUAACCUGCCCCCUUCUUCUGGAUAACCGCAUGAAAGUGUGGCUAAUACGGGAUAUUCUGGGUCUGUCGCAUGAUGGGUCUGGGAAAGAUAUUGUUUCGGUGGGGGAUGGGCUCGCGGCCUAUCAGCUUGUUGGUGGGGUGAUGGCCUACCAAGGCGGUGACGGGUAGCCGGCCUGAGAGGGUGGACGGUCACACUGGGACUGAGACACGGCCCAGACUCCUACGGGAGGCAGCAGUGGGGAAUAUUGCACAAUGGGCGCAAGCCUGAUGCAGCGACGCCGCGUGAGGGAUGGAGGCCUUCGGGUUGUGAACCUCUUUCGCCAGUGAAGUAGGCCUGCCUCGUUUGUGGGUGGGUUGACGGUAGCUGGAUAAGAAGCGCCGGCUAACUACGUG
Molecule: ribosomal RNA, 494 nt
Filed under: uncultured bacterium
Lineage: Bacteria
Description: partial 16S ribosomal RNA
Rfam family: Bacterial small subunit ribosomal RNA
Source: RNAcentral